AAAAUGAUAAGCUAAAUAAGCUAUUGGGUUCAUACCCCAAUAAUAGAGAUUUUAAUCCUCUUCAUUUUA
RNAcentral lists this transfer RNA (69 nucleotides) under Bostrichoidea sp. 4 KM-2017. RNAcentral describes it as "tRNA-Met". It matches the Rfam family "tRNA". From Rfam's summary of the family: Transfer RNA (tRNA) molecules are approximately 80 nucleotides in length. Their secondary structure includes four short double-helical elements and three loops (D, anti-codon, and T loops). Further hydrogen bonds mediate the characteristic L-shaped molecular structure. tRNAs have two regions of fundamental functional importance: the anti-codon, which is responsible for specific mRNA codon recognition, and the 3' end, to which the tRNAs corresponding amino acid is attached (by aminoacyl-tRNA synthetases). tRNAs cope with the degeneracy of the genetic code in two manners: having more than one tRNA (with a specific anti-codon) for a particular amino acid; and 'wobble' base-pairing, i.e. permitting non-standard base-pairing at the 3rd anti-codon position. Lineage: Eukaryota; Metazoa; Arthropoda; Insecta; Coleoptera. The record is from RNAcentral.